CAAAUUUUUAGGAGGAUUGUGGACUGGAUGUCUAUACUAGAAAAUGGGGAAAGUAUCUGAGCUUUCUGGAGGACUCCUAAGAAGCUUUGUGCUGGGGAGAGAUGUGUAUGAAGGGCUUAAGGUGUUGUCAUUUAUACAUGUUUAUUUGCUUUAUUCUUUAUUGUCUAUUUUGUUGAAUGGUCUGGAAU
Molecule: long non-coding RNA, 188 nt
Organism: Etheostoma spectabile (orangethroat darter)
Lineage: Eukaryota; Metazoa; Chordata; Actinopteri; Perciformes; Percidae
Exons: 3
Source: RefSeq, a predicted model, not a curated record